This 129-nucleotide microRNA precursor is filed under the name Mustela putorius furo (domestic ferret). RNAcentral's name for it is "miRNA (ENSMPUG00000023205.1)". The record is from RNAcentral. Lineage: Eukaryota; Metazoa; Chordata; Mammalia; Carnivora; Mustelidae.
GUUAAUUUGAAUUUCAGGUAUUUUUUUAAAACAUAAGUAUAUCCCAAAUGUUGUGUGGGACAUACUUAUACUAAAAAAAUUGUUUACAUUACUUGUUACAUAUUCAAGUAUAAUUGAAUGCCCUUUGUU